UAAACUGCUUAAAAGAAAAAUGAAAUGCAAAGUAUGCCACCAGGAAACAAAACUGAAGAAAAGGGUGAACAACGGAGACCAAUAUGCCUGGAUCUGUCGAGGAGCAGCACAUGGUGGACGCGUUAAACAAAUCUCUGUCAGACACAAGUCCCUUUUCAGCCGUUCGAAAGUCUCACUUCAACACUGGAUGCAAUCUAUCUACAGGUAAGCAUAAACACUACACAAAAAGGAACUAAAUUUAAAUGACUCUUUGUAAGGAUGUUAUUUUUCUCCCUGAAGAUUCUCUCAGGAUCUCAGAUUACGUCAAAUUGACAUGAUGGAUGACACCAUUGCAAGCAGUACGACAACACUUAGUAAAAUGUCCAAAAAAUUAAGGAGGGUAUGUGUGGCUGCAGUUCAAAGAAUGAGAUGUCGUACAGGUCAGUAGAUUGGUGGCCGAAGGGAGUUUGUUGUGAUCGAUGAGAGUCAUUUUCAUCGCAAAUGAAAGGUAAGUUUUGUAAUAGAAAUUAUAUAUUACAUCUAUAUGACAACCUUUCACAGCACUUUUUUGCCAUUUGUCUUAAUUGUUUUCUUUCUGCAUCAGUAUGGGAGAGGAAGAAUGGCAGGGGGCUGGAAAAGAAGAAAGUGGGUGUUCGGAAUGCUGGGCAUAAAAAAAUCAGCGUAGAACAAGGCCUAUCUUGCGUCUUGUGGAGAAAAAAUCUCAAAGACAUCUUGUUCCUCUGAUCACUCUUCAUGUCAGGAUUGGUUCCUUGGUGAUAAGUGAUGAAUGGCGGGCCUAUCGCAUUCUCCCAAACGUAGGUUGUGGACAUUAUACUGUUAACCACAGCAGAUGGUAUGUGGACCCUCUAACAGGUGCCUAUACCCAACAUCUGCAGAGAGCCUGGAGGUCUUACAAGGAGAGAAUUUGGAGACUCCGGGGUAACAGAAAUGACAGCCUACUAUCAGAACACCUUACAGUUAUUGAGUGGAACGAAUGGCUUGCAAAAAAGCACAAACAGGGUGCUUUAGGGAGACUGAUAUAUGACAUUUUAAAAAAAAUACAGAUAAAAAAGUUACUGUUGCAACUGCAGGUUUUUUUUUCACCUUUUGAAAAUAUUUGAGCAUUUCAUGUAAAAACAUACAAUUCAUAAAAGUGCAUCGAGCCUUGUUCUUUACUUCAAAUACUGGCUAAUAGUGGUUCAGCACAAUGUUUGUUUUGACAGUUGUGUGUCAAUAUUUGUAAGCAUUGUUUUGAUGUUUUAUAAUUGGCAUCUUAAAAAUAAAGUGCUUUCUGUA
This is a non-coding RNA of Nothobranchius furzeri (turquoise killifish), 1275 nucleotides long. The record is from RefSeq and is a predicted model, not a curated record. NCBI's taxonomy places the organism in Eukaryota, Metazoa, Chordata, Actinopteri, Cyprinodontiformes, Nothobranchiidae.